GCUUGUCUUCAUUGCAAUGCAUGAAGUCUGUGGAGAGAAACCCUGGUGAUGCUGGGGGCUUCUGCUGGCCCCAGCUGAACUUGCACUGGGCCUUGGAGCUGGAUCCUGGCUGCAGAAAAGCAGCUGUGCAUUGAGCUCAUGCAAUUCUGCUGUACCUGCAUGAGAGCCCAGCACAACAAAGACAAGCUUGGAGAAGGAAGCACAAACCAUGGAAAACACAAGGAAUAAUCCCAGAUGGUUCCCAGCUCCUGUGUAUUUCUUGGGACUCUCCAGUGCACCACCAAAACUUUUUUUGCUACUUCAGUAGGGCAUUCUGCUUUAUAAUCCCAAGAACAUCAUUGCCUGUAGUUACCACAGGCAGGCAGGAGAAGCUGUGUAAGGACUUGAGCCUGCAGCUCACUGCCAGAGCUAUCCCAGGCACCCCCAAACCAGCUGAACACAGCCAGGACAGGCAAUUGUACAGGAAUGAACCUCCAAUUCACAUUAAUAGCUCCAAACCUGAAAUUGCCACAGGCUAAUUAUGGAAACUUUGAGGAGUAAAAUUAUCUUAAUAAUUUAACUGUGUAAACACAGUGACUCACAUACUAAGGGUGGAAUAACAGUCUCCUGAGCAGUGCUUUCACCUGUGAGCCAGAAGCUGGCUUCUCCACACCUUUGCCUUGAGAUAGGGAAAUCUGCAUGAGGAAGAAAGGAAAGUUAUGGCUCUGUGGUAGUACUUUGCUCCAGUGAUAAUUCCCUGGGUUUUACAGAGCUAUUUGCCCAACUUUCUGUACUUCUACCCGAAUUUAAAUAUUUUUUACUACAUAAUAAUAUAUAUUUAUAUAGAAAUACCAUGUAUUUAGUUAUAAGCCUCUUUUUUCAUCCUCAACUCAGCAUCCCCUGGCUGCAUCUGGAAUCACACCUUUGUCCAUUCACAUUCAUGUCAAGGCAGAACAGCACCAGAGCUGGUGAACUUCAAGUGAAAUCUAAUAUAUUGUGUUUGGGAGAGAAAAAUCGUCCACUGUAGAACACCUGAGCAGGUGGUUGUCUUGGGGUGAUUAAUGAUGACGAUCUAUUCCAUGGCGUGCCGCUUCGUGCCCCAAAGUGGCUGCAGUACCUUUAAGGUGUGUGGCCGGGGCAGGGGGGAGCCCUGAGCUCUUUGGCGGCUUUUCCCAAUCCUCACUCCCCAAAAACAAAGUGCGGUGCAGUCUGCUUUUGCCUGGCUAGCUUGGUUUGGUUUGGUUAGCCCAGGCAAGAAGCUUUUCCCUUCCCUGGGCCUGCAGAAGCUGCAGCAGCAAUCCUUCAGCUGCCUCUGAGGCGAGCGGGACAGCCCCCGAGCCCGAGGCAGGAGACGCGGCACCUGUGGCACAGGGGCCGCUCCGUUCCGGCCCCGCACCUCGGGAAGCCGAGCCGGGGAGAGAAAUGAAACCAAGAGGCUCCAGCCCAGCUGUUUCCUCUGCUGUGGAGAGGAGGUCGCUGCCAGAGAGUCAGCAGGUUUUCAUCUGUUGCCCGAACUGCUGCGUGAAGCUCCUGUUUGUUCGGGGAUUUUGCCUGAGGGAGACGCCGGCGCCAUCUUGUACCGCGGCUCACAUCCUCAGCAGCACUAAAAUCCUGUUUAUCUGGAGAGCUUCCACCACCCAGGACCCAACCUCCUGCAAUGGCCUGGCCUUUGCACCUUGGAGAGCUGGACAAGGGGACACCUCAGCUCAAGUGGCCUCUGGGGACACCCCAUGCCAGCUCACACACCCCAGCCCCUCCAGCCUGCAGUGCAUCACAGCCUUCCUCUGCUCUUCCUCCUCCUAGCUUCCUUCUUCCUGCCUGCACAGGACUCAGGAGCCAGGCCUGUGCUGCCACCCAAAGACAUUCUGCAGGGCAAGCAAACACGAGAGGAACUCUGCAAAGAUGGGAUGGCUGCAGGGUCACCCAUUUCAACUGAGUUCCUCCCCUUCCCUCCCCUUUUCUAUUGGCCUCCUUUAAUUUCCUUUCCACACCAAUGUAAGCCUCUGUGACCUUACUCUUUUAUUUUUGUGAUCCUCUAUGCAAAACCCAUCCACGCAUUUAACAGAUUUCUUGGGAUGUGAAACCUUGUAUGUCUUGUGACUUGGGCAUAGUGGCAGGAUUUUUAAGCAGUGCUACUAAAAAAAAAAUACAAAACAAAGGAAGACUGGCGUUCCAACCCACACCUGCCUGUAGGCAAGUCAGAGGAUGGUUCUUUUAUGAGGGAAUCUGCCACUUUGAAAGACUGGGAAAUCAGUCACAAGACAGGUUGGGAAUAUAGAAAAUGAUAAAUGGGUCUCUCUUAUCACAUCAUGACAGUGAAACAGGUGAAAGGAAAUUUUAAGCUGUGAAAAUCUAUUUUUCUUUAAUUUAUUUUUCCCUAUGACUUGCAAUGAGCAUGCCCCAGAAAUUCCCAAGGGCAAAAAUACAUCAAGAUUCAGAGAAAGACUGAGUUGAUAUGGACAGCAAGAAUAUCAGGAUUCAUUAGAAUUAAUGUCAGUAAAAAUGUCAUCAGGUAUAUUAAACUCCCUGCUCCAGGGUGCAGAAAACAUUUGAGCCAUUAGAUCCAGCAGGAGUGGGGAGAAGAAGGGUGGGGAGGCAGAUCCAGCCUCAGCCCUCCCUGAGGAUCCAUCACGGGUUUCUGCAGCAGGCGGAUGACGUGAGACAGGCACGUGUGUCUCACACGGCUGUUCCCUUGCACUGGGAGACAGGGCAGGGCCCCACAGCCACGGCCACCUUGGUGCUGCCAGGUUCUGGCCCUGCCAGUGCAGGGUGCUCGAUGCUGGGAGCACCUUCCUUCCCUGCAGAAAUUGCAGGAGGAGGUCAGAGAUGAGCUGUGACCCUUGCGUCUGCAGCACAGGAGAGGUGCCCGUGCUCACUUUGGGGAUGGCUGCACUGCCAUGGAAAGCCUCUGUCUGUAUCUCAGAGAAGAGAGGUGGAGUAUGUAUAUAAAUAUAUACAUUCCCAUUACCAACCUGUUCCAUGCAAGCACAGUAGGGCUCACACCAAGACAGUUUCACUUCAAUAUCUCCAAAGCCUCUGUUUUCACUCUUACUGUAACAAAUUUGGAAGUCCUAAUAAGCCUGGAGAGGAUCUCAAUACAAAUUCAAGCUCCCAGCUACAUUUCUUGUUUGAGAUUAGACAAAUCAAUCUUUUAGUAUCUUUUUAUCUUCUAAUUGUGCAUCCAUAUGGUUCACAGCUGCACUCAUUCAAGGGAUGCUGCCUGCCUUUAGGGCCUGUGUUCAUGUGUUUCUGUUCACAGUCAUGGGCUUUUGGGGAAGUCAGGAUUGGGCUCUUAUGCUAGCAAAGGGGCUGGUGUCACGAAGGGAAAUUCAGGUGCUGUCUUUUGGUGGUAUCACCCUAAAAACCUCUUCUGCUAUGGUUCCACCCAGCUAAUGAUCUAGUGCUCUUGAACAUCAAGCAGCAUUAAGUCACCCUGUCCCCUUUCUCAGACUGCCUUGACCAGGCUGUGUGGAGGCCAUGACCCCUCUGACCUUGCUGAGUUCUGCCCUUCCUCCUUGCAAGGUUUUCAGGGCCCUGUGGAGGGCUGGGAAUGCUGGAAUCCCCUUACACAAGGGCACAAACUCUGCCAGCUGCCUGCACUUGCUCCUUGGUGGCUUGAGGCUGUCACUUCACGUGCUCACACAUGGCUUCAGCCCUCAGUCACCUCUUUGUGCCCCCCAUCACAGCUGUUUCUCCAGCAUGCAGCCAUUUCCCACAUCCAGUCCAAGCUCCCGUGGGUUUCUGCUUGCUACCCCAGGAAAACUUAGGGGCCAAAUCAAAGGGGCAUUGAAAUAAUGUGUAACUGAACACUUGUCAAGGAACUUGAUAUCUUGAUAGCAACAAGUGGGAGCUGCCACUCAGGCUCAGAGCCUCAAGCCAUCUAGUCAGCAGUGCUUUUAGGAGCAGCAAUUGCUCCAAAAUUGCCAGCAAUUGCUGGCUGCGCCUGCAAGGAGCAAACAUGCCUAAGAGCAGAAAAGGAUUAUGUGGCCCCCAGGAAAGCCAUCAAUCCUUGGCUGGUUACACCCCUAGCUAACACCUGGAGAACUGUGAGCUUGCACCAGCUCUGUAGUACCAGCUUGUCUUUAUCCUGCUGGGGGUGCAACUCCAGAUUUCUGGGGGACCCCCUUCUCUCUACCUCCAGCUGUGCUCCUGGGCACCGUGGCAUAAUGUGGAAAGGCGUUCAAAGUACAAAGCCUUCAGUUUCUUGCACUUUUCUACUGCCAGCCCAUGGUGUCUGCAGAUUGUGUGCAGGGAAUAGUUGGUAAAAAAAUGAAACACAAAUUUGUAGUGGAGUUUCCCUCCACUACAUCAAUAAUGCAGAGCCCAAAACUCAAAUGUCCAGGAAAUUGGUAGGGCACCCUUUUGAAAGCUAAAAUAUUUUGGGGGUUCUGGGCUGUCUGGUUGGUUCUGAGCCUUCUGAUUGCUGAUGGCAAUUUUGGGGUCUUAUUCAUGUUGCAAAAGGCUAGCCUCUCAUCUGGCUGUACCAUAAGGCCUGGUGACUGCCUCACUCUGUUCCUCAGAGGAGUAAGAGAAGGAGUCAUCUCCAGAAGCCACUACACAUUUCUUCUCUGGGCUAGGCACCCUUUUUUAUGGAUACUGAGCUCACACCCUGUCUCACUUCCCACUUAUGAGUGUUUUUCUCUGUCUUAGCAUCCUGCAGGGAGCAGAGUGAUCCCAAAGACUGGUCUGCUGCAGUUUGUGAGCACCCAUUUUUGCCUUCCUGGACCACACACUGGAGUCUGGGGAUGUGGGAUGAGACCUGUCUCAGCAGCUGGAUCCAGAUGGGAAGGCAGGCAGGAAGGAAGGAAGGAAGGCAGGAAGGGAGGCAGGAAGGGUGGGCUGGUUCUGGUAGUAGGGCAGGAGUCCUGAAUUCAUGCUGCUGAGGUUCUUGGUCCUGUUGAAGGAGGAGAUGGAGCAGAAGCAUGGCUUAUUCAGCUCAAUUUGUAACAGCUCCACCUAAGGAAAAUGAAGACAAGAGGAAAAGAGAGGUAUGGAUUUUUUAUAGUGUGGUCGCAUUGAACUUCUCGUCCUGUUCCUACAGUGGUGGUAAGAAAAGAAGGUAUGUUUAGACCUGAUGCCUUUGCAGUAGAGCCAGGGGGCCCAUGGGGGAUUGUGUGGUACAGCCAGGACUCCUGGCAUAAAUGUCCUGGCAUCUAGUCCUGGUUCAGGCAGUGGGAAGAAAGAGCUGGAAAGAGCAUGGCCUUGCACAGGAGCUAUGCACAGCCCAGCCUGCGCUGCAAGAGGGAGAAUAAGCAUCAGCUACUUCCCUCACCCCUGGCCAUGCAGGACAGGCUCUUUCAGAUUUUAAUCCCCCUCUUGCCGAGCUUUUCUUUCUGCCCCUGUCUCUUCAUCAGAGAGGAGCAGCUGCAACCCUCUAAUAGCCUCUAAUAGUUUGUUCUUAGCAGCUGUCGGUGGUAUUUUGGUGCUGCCUCCUCUCUCCUGUUGCUGAGGUGGCUAUUUCCCCACUGCAGAGCUGCCUGCCUGGGCUUUCUCCUCCCCACUGAGCCGUGGCCAGCUGCAGGAAGGUCACUGGGGACUUCAGGAAUUAAUUUUACUGGAAACCACAUCCAGUAACCAAGACACAGUCUGGAGUGGGAGAAGAAACUAGAUCCAAUUGGUCAUAUGGGAAGAAAAAAGUGUGGGAAAGGUUUGCAAUUGCUUUUUUUCAAUGAAAAUUUAAGAGAUGGGUAAAGGAGAAGGAAGUAAAUUAAAACUGUUGAGCAGUGAGAGGAGAGAUUUUGCAACAGUUUCCCCAGGACCUUGUCUGCCAGUGUUUUCACUUCUCUUAGUCUUGUAUUUCAAAAGCUCUGGAGCUCCCCUUAAUGCACAAGGAAACAAACCAAGGUCCCUGUCCCACACUGUGAUACCUCUCCACCAUGUUUUGCUUGCAUCCCAAAGAGUUCAUCUCCUCACUUCCCUGUUGUGCAUCUCUCUGACUGGUCUAGUCCUGGCCCUGGUGCACACAUGUGAAGAGCUUCUGUUGGAAUAAAAACCCAAGAUUUUCUGAUACUUGGAUAUAAAUGGAAGUUCAAUGUUGCAUGUACAAUGUCUCUUAUUGUGUUUUGCUCCAUUCUGUUCUAGGUAAUUUUGUUCUACUUUGCAUCUCUAGUAUUUUUGGACUCUGUUGCACAUGUGGUGCACAUAGGGAGACCUGCUGGAGUGAAAGGGGAAUAUUUUCUCUUACUAUGAUAUAAAUGGAAUGUAGGAAGGGCUUAUGUUUGAGGGAAAGAGCAGGAUUUUAUAUUACUGGGAUAAAAAUUGAAGUGAAAUGUUCUGUAGAAAAUAUAUUGUCUUGGGUUCCUCUCUCUUUUGAGAAUAAAUUCCAGAAAAGACAUUUCAUUUGACUGUGUGCCAAAUAAGAUAGGAACUAUUGGGUUGUGAUAAGGCAGUUUAGUAAAGCAUAAAAAGGGAAAAAAAGUUUUCUUGUAUCUAAGCAAAGGGAAACAUUCAUCUCUAAUUCCCAUCAGUAAGGAUGCUCUGGAAGGCAAACAAUGUGGAAUAACAAAUGCGCUCUAUUCCUUCUCCCUCCCUUAGCUUUUAUAUCUGAGCUGAUGUCAUAUAGGUAUGGAAUGUCCCUUUGAUUGCUUUGGGUCAUCUGGCCUGGAUGUGUCCUCUCCCAGGACCUUGCCCACUCCCAGGCCCUUCAUGGGGAAGAAGGAAUGCCACAGGGACAGCGCUGCUCAGCAGUAGCCAAAAUGCAAGUUCUGUUAACUCCCACCUCCCAUGGCCUCUUUCAUUCUCUGGUAACUCAAAUGGUGGUGCUUCUCAGGCACAAGUUGUCUUCUCAGGACCUGUUCCAAAACCUCUGCCUUCUGGCCAGCUCGUAAUCUCUUCUAGGAUUCCUAGGAAAUAGGGUUUUCCCAUUCGGGCUCAUGGUGUGAUCAAUGCUACCCACUUACUCCAUCUAGCGCUGGUUAUGUGAUGUGCUGGGGGAUGUUUCCUUGGAACAUCCUGUGUAGGACAGGCAGUUGUGGUACCAAAAGGAGUUGCUUCUGUCCCAGCAGCUCCUGAGGUGGCUUGAACUCCCUCAUAGGCUGGAGUUUUCAUUGGGAAUAUAGUGGGUUUCUGGUCCUCAAUAAUUCCAGCUCCAAAACUGUAAUGGUUGACCUUAGAUUUCUCCUGAGGUCCUUUGCCGGAGGCUCCAGGUAAGCCCCUGCUCCCUGGCUGCAGUGUAGGGUGUAUUUUGCACCUCUCCAUCUCCACAGCAGACACUCUCAUUCCAAACAAACUCGUUAACUCACUGUCAUUCACCAAAGAGAAAUCACUCAGCAAGGUGGGAGCCAAUAUUGGUGAAGCCAGGUCAGAACAGGGCAAACAUGGGGAAGGAGCAAGGUGGAGAGGCUGCUGCUUCAUUAAAUCCAGCAUAACUCCGGAAGACUGGAGAUUUGGAAAAUCCAGCUGUCAGAGUCACAAUGAGAACUGCUCCCUUGCAGGUCCUGGGAGAGGCCCAGCAAGCACCAGGCAGGACAUGAAGGAAAAGGCUGAGCUCUUGAGGGGCUUGUAGGAGAGUAAUUCUAGUCCCUUGCUGGACUUGGUGACACAAUCCAUGUUGGCUUGUGAAGCCCUUCCAGAGCUGCAGGCCCUUCAUGGGCACAGCAAAAAUGAAUAGUCCAAGAAUAUGUGCUUUCCACCUGCUUUUGCUUUGCAGUUGUUUU
This is a long non-coding RNA of Passer domesticus (house sparrow), 7634 nucleotides long. RefSeq lists it as uncharacterized. The record is from RefSeq and is a predicted model, not a curated record. The transcript has 3 exons. Lineage: Eukaryota; Metazoa; Chordata; Aves; Passeriformes; Passeridae.